GACGGAGGGGGGGCAAGUGUUCCUCGGAAUGACUGGGCGUAAAGGGCCCGUAGGCGGUGAAUCGGGUUGAAAGUGAAAGUCGCCAAAAAGUGGCGGAAUGCUCUCGAAACCAAUUCACUUGAGUGAGACAGAGGAGAGUGGAAUUUCGUGUGUAGGGGUGAAAUCCGUAGAUCUACGAAGGAACGCCAAAAGCGAAGGCAGCUCUCUGGGUCCCUACCGACGCUGGGGUGCGAAAGCAUGGGGAGCGAACAGG
This 253-nucleotide ribosomal RNA is filed under the name uncultured bacterium. RNAcentral's name for it is "partial 16S ribosomal RNA". It matches the Rfam family "Bacterial small subunit ribosomal RNA", at positions 522 to 776 of the family's 1533-position model. The record is from RNAcentral.